RNAcentral lists this non-coding RNA (176 nucleotides) under Chloroflexi bacterium RBG_16_51_16. RNAcentral describes it as "6S RNA". It matches the Rfam family "6S / SsrS RNA". Rfam says of the family: E. coli 6S RNA was the first non coding RNA to be sequenced, but its function was unknown until recently. The record is from RNAcentral. Lineage: Bacteria; Bacillati; Chloroflexota.
UGAGCCCUGCUGUGUACGUGAUGUUGCUCUACGUUUUGAGCCAACAGUCUCCGUAAGGGCUCCCAUUUCAAUAGAAAUUACGCGAUAGGCUCGAGCCAAGGCGGAGUUUCUGGAUAGGAGCCCACCUGCGAAAGCAGGUUCAAAACCUCGUAACACACGGCAUAAGCGGGGUUCAA